Vespula pensylvanica (western yellowjacket) is the source of this 5444-nucleotide RNA transcript. It is a transcript of the gene named anoctamin-8, with no coding region annotated. The transcript has 17 exons. NCBI's taxonomy places the organism in Eukaryota, Metazoa, Arthropoda, Insecta, Hymenoptera, Vespidae. The record is from RefSeq and is a predicted model, not a curated record.
GAAAGAGGGAAACUAUGUUGGGUAGGGUAAAGGUAAAGUCGGUGGGGUAUCAGUCCAGUUCAGGCGCAGGAGUUCUCGGUUAAGGACGACAGUCCUGCCCAAUCGGGACAUUAUGCCAGGCGGCGAGGGGUCCCCGAUCAAUCUCCUCGACCACCACGGAACAUCGACUACCCCUAGCGGUAUAACGUCGGCUCAGUGUCCGAAGAGCGAUGACGAGGCUGGAAGCACGACCGGAAACGCAACUACUACCGAAAAGGACGCGAGUGCAUCGACGAUGACGAGUGUCCCGGCCGGUGAGGGACUUAGACGGAGGAAGGUCAUACACGCGGCCAAAGAGACAUUAGACAAGGCAUCACGUUUAUUGAGACGUAAGAUACCAUGUACUGGCCACCUGAUGACCCCCCGCCGCCUAUGGAUACAAAAAGUACCAACUCAGAAAUGCGACGUCGUUAUGAUGUUUCCGAACGGUGCAAGCGACGAAACUCUGAUGUGGCUUUUAGGUCGACUUCGGGCUGGGACCCCUGGCCUAGUCGUGCACGUCAGACAUCAUGCCUCCUCAGAUAGUUACGGGUUUUAUCUAACGGCACCUUUUAGCGUUUUGUUAAAAGCUGCGGAGGAGGUACACUUGCCAAAAGCUCUACGCCAAGAAUAUGGCGGAGGUUUGAAGGAAUUCGUAGGCUCGGAAGCGAGCUGCUUCAAAGGAAGCGACGACGAAGCUCAUUUUUUUACUACCCAAGAAAGACAGUCCCUGGUAUUACACCUACUUCAUACGUUAAGAGCAGGUCCGCAGGAUCUUCACAGUUUAUCAGGAUUAAAACUGGUGGAAGGACAAGCCAUUAUUCCUAAGUGCAUCUCGGCAGGCAUUAUAUCACAGGUCUUCCCAUUACACGAACUACCGGCAUUAGAACAAUUACGAAAGACAUGGGUUCGCGCAUUUUUUAGUCCCCAACCAUUGGACGAUAUCUGUAAAUAUUUUGGGGUAAAAAUCAGCAUGUACUUCGCAUGGCUCGGACACUACACCACCGCUUUGAUCGUUCCCGCCGCUGUGGGUGUCAUAUACUGGGUCGGCAUCAUCGGUAGGAACCAAGCGGUGGAAGACGUGGCGUACGUGUUAUUCUCAGUCUUCAACGUAAUUUGGGCGACAGUUUAUCUAGAAACUUGGAAAAGAAGAGGUGCCGAAUUGGCCUACAGAUGGGGUACUUUAGAUCAAAGAGAUGACUUGUUGGUCGAACCUAGACCUCUCUUCACGGGUACUCUAGAAAUAUCACCUGUCACGGGAAGACUAGAACCAACUUACCCCAGAUGGCGAAGGAAUGUUUUUCGAUAUUUUGUCAGCGUACCCAUCAUCGCCGCUUGUCUAUUUUUCGUUUUCGUCGUCAUGAUACUGAGCUUCCAAAUACAGGAUUGGUGGGACGCCCGUCUUGAAGCGGGAGGCUACGGAUUCUGGCUAAGUUACGUGCCAAAAGUAUUAUUGGCCGUUGUAAUCGCCUUAAUGGACGAGGCGUACUUCAAAGUCGCAGUCUGGUUGAACGACUUGGAAAACUAUCGACUAGACACCGAGUACGAGAAUCAUCUGAUCUACAAGGUGGCACUGUUUCAGUUCGUAAACUCCUUCCUAUCGUUAUUUUACAUCGCCUUCUAUCUUCAAGACCAAGAAAGACUCAAGGAGCAACUAGCCGCGUUACUGAUAGCUCGGCAAGUGAUUGGAAAUCUUAAAGAAUCCGCAAUACCAUAUUUGGUGGAACAGCUGCGCCUAGCACAAUUGAGUUUUGAGCUCUUUGGUGCUCUGAGCCCAAGCGAAGCGAGACUACCACCUGGUAAUGACGAGGAAGACGAGAAAACGAAGAAUUCCGAUGAGAAGGAUGAACGAACGGAAACGGGAAAGACGAAGCAACCGAGGAACGUUAGCCAAGCUGAGUUGGAGAGUUCUCUCUACAGAGUAGGACACACCACUAAUUCUCUUCUUAGUGACGUUACUUUGAAGUACGAUCGAGCGUUCUCGGAACAUCUGGAAAUGCUUUCGCAACUGGGAUAUGUAUGCCUCUUCUCGUCAGCGUUUCCUUUAGCUGCCGUUGCUGCGUUACUUGGUAACCUGAUCGAAUUACGAGGAGAUGCAUUUAAGUUAUGUUACGUUCUUCAACGACCCUUUGGACGUAGGGUAUCAAAUAUCGGCACUUGGCAGAACGCUAUGGAAGCUAUGGGAUUCGUCGCGAUUUUAGUUAAUUGCGCGUUAAUCAGUCGAAGCGGACAGGUACAACGAAUGUUUCCAGAGAUGUCCGCGACUCAAACAAUUUUGCUAAUAGUCGCUUUGGAACACAUUAUGCUAGCAAUCAGAUUUAUUAUUACCUGUGCUAUACCGGAUAUACCACAUUGGGUUGCUACGGAAAUGGCCAAAGUUGAAUUCUUAAGAAGAGAAGCAGUGAGAAGAUUGUCCUCGACACCAUCACCGGAACAACAACCGUCUACCGUCAUAGGGAGAUUCGUGGUGAGUCCAGCAGACGGAGAGAGCGAAGAGCAGCAUCUGUUGAGCGAACGUACCGGAGACGCCUCGAUGUCCAGCCAACCGGAUACUCCUACUUUAGCAUCGACGACCCAAACACCGAGCAGACCAUCGACUCCAAGUGCUACGUCGAUACCCAGAAUCGCGGAGACAUCGCUUACGGCUGAGUCACCCGGUAGUAUUGGAAGUAGCAGCGAGAUCAGCAAUUCCUUCCUUUCCGAAAAUAAUAUUGGCAGUAGUCGAGACAUUCACAAUACACCGAGAUGCUCUAUACCUGGAGGAGAAAGAGGCCGACGAUCAAGAGAGUGGUUAACCAACGAACCAGAAUCAUCGAACACUGGAGAUCACUACGGUCAUCAUUUGACGAUCGGUCCUCACGGUGGUGUCGAUUGGGUACGCAAAUUAGGCUUGGAACCAGGUGGACGAAAAUCGAGCGAUUCCGAGAUCAGUGCAGUUGGUUCCGUGGCUGGAACUGCCGAAGAAUUAACUCUCCAUAGAUCUACCGAUUGCAUCGUUUCAAAGGAUCUGGCUUCGUCCUCGGAUAGUGAUUUGUUAAAGUCUGCCCCGCCAUGGGUGAUAACUCACAGAAAUCCAAAGUUCCGUUUUUCACCGGAGAAGGAGAGGGAACGAGAGAAGGUGGAGAAGCAACAAUAUUAUCAGCAUCAUCAACAGAGGGAAACAACGCACGAGCACCGUGAUCGACAAGCGUACGUUCCCGAAAAAGAAAAGGAUUCGGGUGUUGGUGGUCUGUCAGAUUCCAGCAAGACGAUUUCGAGUCAAGAGGAAGAGAAACCAAGUAGGGAGGAUCGCGAAGCGAAAAAAACGAGAGUGAAACAGAGUCUCAUGAAGAGGGCACGUUCGGUCGCUAUAUUCUCGUUAAAAUUAAAAGAACGACGAGCGAGAGAGGCCGAACUUAAAGCGAAGGAAGCAGAGAGGGAAGCUAGAUGGCAACAACCUCAGUCAUGCGUUGGUGGCGAACUAUCUUGCAUUCCCAUAGAAAAGCUUAUAUCUGUGGACGACAUUGCGGCCAUGGAGAUGCGCAGAAUGAAUCAUUAGAGAAGACGCUUCGGAAACUUCGAAUUUUGUUUUUCCGCUAAGUAGAAUUAUUCGUGUACGAGAUCGCGAUACGUAAGAGGAGAGGUAGAAAAUGAAAGAGAGAGAGAGAGAGAGAGGUAGAGAUAAAAAGAGAUAAAGCACUUUUUGUGUUGCUGUACAAAAUGCAGACGGAUUCUCGAGAGAAUAUCGUUUUCACGGUCAAGAUGGUGAUUGGUAGUAAGAUGAGAAGAUGAAAAGAAAGAAACAGAAAGAAAGAAAGAGAGAAUAACGAAUCGAGUAUGGAACAAAGGAACGUCGCACAAAAUAACGAGUCUGCACGAGAUUACGGAACACCGUUCCGGUAGAGACGUCCAUAGAGAAUUUUACCCUACACCACAUACCAUUUCUAGAGAUCACGUUUUAACAUAGAUCAUAGCCCCCUUUGCAAAGUUAAUAGAGAGAAGUAUCUCGUUGAGCUGUAAACGUCCUGCUAGUGCCGUCAUUUUUGCCGUAAGUUCACGAGCGAUUAAUAAACUUUUCGGCUUCUUCGUAACGUGAACACGUUAUCCCUAUUUUCCAGGAAAAAAAAAAAAAAAAACAAAGGCUCGUCUUUUAAUCGAUGAUUCUCCAUUUUUCUUUUCAUAUGAAAUUGAUCCCUGCUUAGGAAAAUACAAAUAAAAAGAAGAAAAAAAUAUUAACGCAUAAAAGAAUCAAAAAUGCGCCGAUCAGGUGCGACACGUUACGAAGAAGCCGUUACGGCCACGAAAUUGUGGAAUACUUACGAUAGACUAAAUAUAUAUAUAUAUAUACAUACAUAUAUAUAUAUAUACAUAUAACAUUUAGAUAUUUGUAAAGUACACGCAAGAUAGCUGACACGUUGGUAGCGAAAUUCAGAUUGGGAGAUCACCGAAGGUGAAAUUGUUAUUGUUGCUGAAAUAUAAGUUGUUACUUACUGUUAACUAGACGUUGACGGGUCAACCGUACAACGAGCGUUCGCUAAGUAAGUUUCUAACAGAAAGCUAUAUAUGAUGCACACAGGCAUGAGAAGUUAAGAAAAUUAAAAGAAAAAAGAAAAAAAGAAGUAAACGUGCUGCAUAUCGCAUCGUACGUAGUACGCGAGCGUCUACUUCCGUUUCCCGCGAAUUUUUCAAACGAAAAAAACUUUCGCGCGUUUCCCCCGCAGCGCACGGUGGCGCACAAAUCGCGCGCGCAUCGAAAUCGAAACGCUUCUAUAUUUUCGUUUACGACAAUUUUUUUCUUGAUAAUCGAAGAUUAUGAUAAUAUUUUUUUUAAUGCAUCGAGUUUUUAAUGCGACGAAUUUCAGGGUCGAUUCUAUUUGUAUAUAAUCGAAUUGCGCGACGAAGAAGAAAGAAAAUAUCACGAAUUUAUGAGGUUAAUUCUAUAUGGCCUAGCGACGCCUUCCCCUCUCGCCAUUCCUCUCUAACCUUCUACGCCCUUGAUUACCUUUGAUUAAAAAAAGCAAUUAAUUUUUUCAUAGCGCUAAAGUGUUUAAUUGCACGUUUUCUUAUGAACAUUAUUUAAGAUCGACGAUAACGAAGGAUCAAGUGCAUCAUUUGAAAACAUAUACAUACAAACACAUUCACACUUCUAUCCACGAACACGUACAUACUAACCAAUGAAAAACGCUCUCACAUGCAUACACAAAUACAUACACGUUACACAUUACAUAUACACACCAAACAACCGACGAGCGCGUUUUAUCUUUUUAGCAUAUCCAACGAGAAAAGUGGCAAGAGAUUCGUUCGAUAGACGCAAAGUCGAUAGAUUAGUUGCUUCCGUAAAAGACAGACUUUAAAUCUUUAAAAGCACUUCGGCGACAAGCAUCUGUGUUUGUUAGAUGUUUUGUAUAAAACAGGAACCGAGCAAAUAAAAAAUAUUCUAUAAAGAA